This 229-nucleotide ribosomal RNA is filed under the name uncultured bacterium. Its description in RNAcentral is "partial 16S ribosomal RNA". It matches the Rfam family "Bacterial small subunit ribosomal RNA", at positions 568 to 796 of the family's 1533-position model. The record is from RNAcentral.
CGUGUAGGCGGCUUGGCAAGUCUGGUGUGAAAUCUUGGGGCUCAACCCCAAGCGUGCACUGGAAACUGCCUCGCUAGAGUCCGGGAGAGGAGAGCGGAACUCCCAGUGUAGCGGUGAAAUGCGCAGAUAUUGGGAAGAACACCGAUGGCGAAGGCAGCUCUCUGGAACGGUACUGACGCUGAGACGCGAAAGCGUGGGGAGCGAACAGGAUUAGAUACCCUGGUAGUCC